Molecule: ribosomal RNA, 681 nt
Filed under: uncultured bacterium
Lineage: Bacteria
Description: bacterial SSU rRNA
Rfam family: Bacterial small subunit ribosomal RNA
Source: RNAcentral
CGCUUGACGCCGCGUGUGCGAUGAAGGUCUUCGGAUCGUAAAGCACUGUCGCGAGGGAAAAAGCCAGUGAUGGUNACCUCGAAAGGAAGCACCGGCUAACUCUGUGCCAGCAGCCGCGGUAAUACAGAGGGUGCGAGCGUUGUUCGGAAUUAUUGGGCGUAAAGCGCAUGUAGGCGGCCCGACAAGUCGCAUGUGAAAGCUCCAGGCUCAACCUGGAAAGUGCGCGCGAAACUGUCGGACUUGAGUGCCGGAGAGGGUGGCGGAAUUCCCGGUGUAGAGGUGAAAUUCGUAGAUAUCGGGAGGAACACCAGAGGCGAAGGCGGCCACCUGGACGGACACUGACGCUGAGACGCGAAAGCGUGGGUAGCAAACAGGAUUAGAUACCCUGGUAGUCCACGCCGUAAACGAUGGAUGCUAGCUGUGGCGGGCAUUAACCCCUGCCGUGGCGACGCUAACGCAAUAAGCAUCCCGCCUGGGAAGUACGGCCGCAAGGCUCAAACUCAAAGGAAUUGACGGGGGCCCGCACAAGCGGUGGAGCAUGUGGUUUAAUUCGACGCAACGCGCAGAACCUUACCCAGACUUGACAUCCCGGGAACCCCGCAGAGAUGUGGGGGUGUCCGAAGGAAACCGGAGACGGUGCUGCAUGGUGUCGUCAGCCGUGUCGUGGAUGUGGGUUAGUCC